AUGUUGUGAGAGUGUGAGAGAGAUCCUUUUUUCUUUUUUUUCAAUUAAAAAUCCAAAAUGAGGUUUUGUUGGCUGAGAGAUAGAGAUUGGUGAAGUGGUCACAUGUUUGAGAGAGAAAAAGAUUCUUCUUCCCAAACUCAAGUGAUCGUUGGAAGGCAUUAGUGGAUAGGUUGCUACUCUCCUCUCCUUUCGCUACAGAUGUCUGCAGAUAGGAGGAAACAUGAGAUUCCUC
Molecule: long non-coding RNA, 232 nt
Filed under: Lathyrus oleraceus (garden pea)
Lineage: Eukaryota; Viridiplantae; Streptophyta; Magnoliopsida; Fabales; Fabaceae
Description: Pisum sativum (pea) long non-coding RNA (PSAT_LNC015929)
Source: RNAcentral